RNAcentral lists this ribosomal RNA (253 nucleotides) under uncultured bacterium. Its description in RNAcentral is "partial 16S ribosomal RNA". It matches the Rfam family "Bacterial small subunit ribosomal RNA", at positions 524 to 776 of the family's 1533-position model. The record is from RNAcentral.
UACAGAGGGUGCGAGCGUUAAUCGGAAUUACUGGGCGUAAAGGGCGCGUAGGUGGUUACUUAAGUCAGAUGUGAAAUCCCUGGGCUUAACCUAGGAAUUGCAUAUGAAACUGAGUAGCUAGAGUGCGGAAGAGGGAAGUGGAAUUUCCGGUGUAGCGGUGAAAUGCGUAGAUAUCGGAAGGAACACCAGUGGCGAAGGCGACUUCCUGGUCCGUUACUGACACUGAGGCGCGAAAGCGUGGGGAGCGAACAGG